GAUGAACGCUGGCGGCGUGCCUAAUACAUGCAAGUCGAGCGAACAGACGAGGAGCUUGCUCCUCUGACGUUAGCGGCGGACGGGUGAGUAACACGUGGAUAACCUACCUAUAAGACUGGGAUAACUUCGGGAAACCGGAGCUAAUACCGGAUAAUAUAUUGAACCGCAUGGUUCAAUAGUGAAAGACGGUUUUGCUGUCACUUAUAGAUGGAUCCGCGCCGCAUUAGCUAGUUGGUAAGGUAACGGCUUACCAAGGCAACGAUGCGUAGCCGACCUGAGAGGGUGAUCGGCCACACUGGAACUGAGACACGGUCCAGACUCCUACGGGAGGCAGCAGUAGGGAAUCUUCCGCAAUGGGCGAAAGCCUGACGGAGCAACGCCGCGUGAGUGAUGAAGGCCUUCGGAUCGUAAAACUCUGUUAUUAGGGAAGAACAAAUGUGUAAGUAACUAUGCACGUCUUGGCGGUACCUAAUCAGAAAGCCACGGCUAACUACGUG
RNAcentral lists this ribosomal RNA (497 nucleotides) under uncultured bacterium. Its description in RNAcentral is "partial 16S ribosomal RNA". It matches the Rfam family "Bacterial small subunit ribosomal RNA", at positions 28 to 507 of the family's 1533-position model. The record is from RNAcentral.